This 105-nucleotide transfer RNA is filed under the name Meira miltonrushii. Its description in RNAcentral is "tRNA-Asp". It matches the Rfam family "tRNA". Rfam says of the family: Transfer RNA (tRNA) molecules are approximately 80 nucleotides in length. Lineage: Eukaryota; Fungi; Basidiomycota; Exobasidiomycetes; Exobasidiales; Brachybasidiaceae. The record is from RNAcentral.
UUCUUCAUAGUUUAGUGGCAAUGACGUAUCCUUGUCAGUAUUAUCCUUCCAAGGGUAGUAUCUUACAGUUCGGAUAAGACCCGGGUUCAAUUCCCGGUGAGGAAG